This 381-nucleotide ribosomal RNA is filed under the name uncultured bacterium. Its description in RNAcentral is "bacterial SSU rRNA". It matches the Rfam family "Bacterial small subunit ribosomal RNA", at positions 524 to 904 of the family's 1533-position model. The record is from RNAcentral.
UACGAAGGGGGCUAGCGUUGUUCGGAAUCACUGGGCGUAAAGCGCACGUAGGCGGAUUAUUAAGUCAGGGGUGAAAGCCUGGAGCUCAACUCCAGAACUGCCUUUGAUACUGAUAGUCUCGAGUUCGGAAGAGGUUGGUGGAACUGCGAGUGUAGAGGUGAAAUUCGUAGAUAUUCGCAAGAACACCAGUGGCGAAGGCGGCCAACUGGUCCGAUACUGACGCUGAGGUGCGAAAGCGUGGGGAGCAAACAGGGAUUGGAUACCCUGGUAGUCCACGCCGUAAACGAUGAAUGCCAGCCGUUGGGGAGCUUGCUCUUCAGUGGCGCAGCUAACGCUUUAAGCAUUCCGCCUGGGGAGUACGGUCGCAAGAUUAAAACUCAA